RNAcentral lists this ribosomal RNA (404 nucleotides) under uncultured bacterium. Its description in RNAcentral is "bacterial SSU rRNA". It matches the Rfam family "Bacterial small subunit ribosomal RNA", at positions 355 to 776 of the family's 1533-position model. The record is from RNAcentral. RNAcentral also lists the same sequence under 1 other name.
UAGGGAAUAUUGGACAAUGGGGGAAACCCUGAUCCAGCAAUGCAGCGUGAGUGACGAAGGCCUUAGGGUUGUAAAACUCUUUCAUCGGUGAGGAUAAUGACAGUAGCCGAAGAAGAAGGACCGGCUAAUUCCGUGCCAGCAGCCGCGGUAAUACGGAAGGUCCUAGCGUUGUUCGGAAUUACUGGGCGUAAAGCGCAUGUAGGCGGAACAAAAAGUUAGAAGUGAAAUCCCUGGGCUCAACCUAGGAAUUGCUUUUAAAACUUUUGUUCUGGAAUUCAGGAGAGGAAAAUGGAAUUUCCAGUGUAGAGGUGAAAUUCGUAGAUAUUGGAAGGAACACCAGUGGCGAAGGCGAUUUUCUGGACUGAUAUUGACGCUGAGAUGCGAAGGCAUGGGUAGCAAACGGG